UUAUUUUUUAAUAAUUAAUUUUUAUAUAAUUUUUAUAUAAUUAAUAUUUUAGUUAUUUAUAGGAAUAAAUAUUAUAAUAUAAUAAUAUUUUAAUAAUGAUAAAAUAAGUAUUUUAUAUAUAUAAAAUAUAGUAACUCGGCAAAUAUUAUUUUCGCCUGUUUAACAAAAACAUGGUCUUUUGUUUAUAUAAAAGAUCUAACCUGCCCUAUGAUUUAUUUAAAUGGCUGCAGUAUUUUGACUGUACAAAGGUAGCAUAAUCAUUUGUCUUUUAAUUGAAGGCUUGUAUGAAUGGUUGGAUGAAAAAUAUACUUUCUUUAUUUUAUAUAAAAAAUUUAAUUUUCUAGUCAAAAAGCUAGGAUUUUUUUAUAGGACGAGAAGACCCUAUAGAACUUUAUUUUCUUUUUUUAUAAACUUUAUAGAUAAAUAUAAGUUUAUAUAUUUUUGUUAAUUUUGUUGGGGUGAUUGAAAAAAUUUUUUAACUUUUUCUAUUUUUUACAUUUAUAUAUGUUUUUUUGAUCCUUUAUUAUGGAAUAAAAGAUUAAGUUACCUUAGGGAUAACAGCGUUAUUUUUUUGGAGAGUUCUUAUUGAUAAAAAAGUUUGCGACCUCGAUGUUGG
Molecule: ribosomal RNA, 616 nt
Filed under: Apolygus lucorum
Lineage: Eukaryota; Metazoa; Arthropoda; Insecta; Hemiptera; Miridae
Description: partial 16S ribosomal RNA
Rfam family: Archaeal large subunit ribosomal RNA (bases 148-305)
Source: RNAcentral